UGAAUAACGUUCUAUCUCCCUCCCUCUCUCCCUGUCUGUGUGUUUGCUCAGGCUGAGAUCUACAAGGCAGAUUUCCUAGCAGAGCGAGAAGCGCGAGAGAAGCUGAACCAGAAGAAGGAGGAGCUGCAGGAUCAGCUGACUCAGGCCCUGACUGAGAUUGACAGGCUCAAACAGGAAGCCACAUCUCGCGCACGUAUGGAGCAAAUGAAGCUGAGGCACCUGGAAGACUUUCCAACACGGGCCCCAUACAAUCCCCCUCCACAAGCUUUCAACACGGUGCCCCCUGCCCCCUCGUUCCGCAAUCAGGGUUUGAUACCAGUCGGUGAUCAAGGGGCAGUCGGAGCUGAGGAGCUGCCAGAUUUAUGUUGUCCUAAGUGUCAGUACCAGGCUCCAGAUAUGGACACUCUGCAGAUACAUGUCAUGGACUGUAUACAGUAACAUGGGCAUAGUUCAGCACAUACAUACAGACAUAUACAUACAGCAUAUUUACAUUUUUGAUGUACCUUGUGUCCACUCCCAGUCUCUGGGCACAGCCUGGAAAAAGUUAUGGUUGUUGCACCUUACUCUCUCUGCCAUGUAAACACACAUACACAAACUGAAUACAUACUGUGGAUCGUACCAUUUUAAAAAUGUAAUAUGUUGGAAUCGAGACAAGUGGCAAUCAGAUGACAGUAUGAACAAUUGAAAGAAAAGAAUAACAUAAAGAUAAUCAGCAUGGUAUGUUCCUAGAAAUGCUCAAAGAAUUCAAAUUCUGCUGUAGCUUUUCCAUUCUGCAACCCAUCCUUUUCACGUCACUUUUUUUU
This is a long non-coding RNA of Sander lucioperca (pikeperch), 803 nucleotides long. RefSeq lists it as uncharacterized. Lineage: Eukaryota; Metazoa; Chordata; Actinopteri; Perciformes; Percidae. The transcript is spliced from 3 exons. The record is from RefSeq and is a predicted model, not a curated record.